UGAUCAUCGUGCAACUGCGGAGGGAAGCUCAGGCAGAAUGGGAGCUCUUUCGUGUGUGUGUGUGUUCUCAGACAAAAUACUGGACUUCAAAUUAUGGCGCCUUUCUGUGCGUGAUUCAUGGAGGACCGUUGCAGAUGCUUUAGAUCAAACCAUGUUGCUGGCUACUUAUUUUGAGUUCUCUGAAACAUGCAUCCUGUUAGUAUGUGGAAGUGUAGCAGCAGUGGAUGAUGAAAUUCCUAACUGUGCUAGAGUGAAAUAUUCUCUGAAACUUGCAUCCUGUUAGUAUAUUCAGACCUUACUGUGUUCCGUUAUCUUUUGAUAGUGGAAUCCGAUCUAUUAGGAUCGCAUGGAAAACAUUCAGACCUUAUUGCGACAAGCUGAAAGUUGUAUGGCAGAUGCUAGUUAAGUAGCUUGUUGUACAGGGUUAACUGGAACAAGAAUCAAUAGCCAUCAUGUUGCAGUUUGGUAGCAUACUAUUACCUGGGCAUCCCUAAAAUCUUGUGUUAGUGGUCUUGAACUCUUGAUGUAUUCAUCAUGGCCAGUUCAAGGCUGAAGCAUAUUCUGGCCAUCUUGUGUUUGGUAGCAGUUCAAGCAUUCUNNNNNNNNNNNNNNNNNNNNNNNNNNNNNNNNNNNNNNNNNNNNNNNNNNNNNNNNNNNNNNNNNNNNNNNNNNNNNNNNNNNNNNNNNNNNNNNNNNNNNNNNNNNNNNNNNNNNNNNNNNNNNNNNNNNNNNNNNNNNNNNNNNNNNNNNNNNNNNNNNNNNNNNNNNNNNNNNNNNNNNNNNNNNNNNNNNNNNNNNNNNNNNNNNNNNNNNNNNNNNNNNNNNNNNNNUUAGCGCCGGUGGCCGAAAAUCGGCCCAGUUGCGCCCUCGGAUCUUGUUUAGCGCCGGUUUGGGUGAAAUACAGAGCCGGUGAUCCUGCCCUGAACCCAAGCGGCCGGGUGUUGCCUGGGCGCGCCGGCACAAGCGAAAAGUGGCGUGGGACCGCUCUGUCGGCGACUGAAGCCCUUUUUCCUACCGUUUUCUCCCGCUUCCCCCCUAGGCUCCCCUCUCUUCUCCAUUCCUUCCGCCAAACCCUCGCCUCCUCCCUACCCUUCCGCUCGCCAUGCCGCUGAAAAAGUACGUGAUGCCGCGCGUCGCGAUGGAUCCCACAACCGCCAUCGCCGCCGCCACCCAGCCGAAGCAAAGGAAGCCGAGGGCGCCGCUUUCCAAGCCCCCCGGCAUGAGCAACGCCGAGUGGAAGGCGGAUGUGGAGCGCUGGGAGGCCGUCAACGCCGCAGGCGCAACAGGGCCAAGAAGGCCAGGGAAAAAGCGGCGCAAGCUGCGGCUGCGGCGACAGCCGAACAAGCGGAGGCGGCGCGCGCGGCGAUGAUGAAUCCACCUGGUGGGCACCCGUACGCAGCCUGGAGGCAGCAAAGUGUCGGCUCUCCGGCCGGGUUCUCGUCGUCGUCGCACCCAUGGAGCACGUCGUCGCCGGGCUAUGCCGAUGGGGACGCCCGUGCGUGCGCUCUUUCGCUGUGUGCGCGCUGUGCGCGCGCCGUGCACGCCGACUGAUGUUCUUUCCUUCGGCGCAGCUGCUAUGCAUGCUCGCCAUGUUCUGCGAUGAUAACAGCGACGCAGAGUUCAAGUACCACCACGUCUUCAAGCGGAUCGACAAGUGCGAGAAAUGGGCGGCCGUCCGACACACCCUCGCCAAAGCCAAAGAGACGUACAAGCCGGACGCGCCGAUCGUGGGCGCGGCCGACGGGUGCCCGGACGGCAAUAAACGUGCCAAGAAGGCAAAAUACGCCGAGUCGGCUGCCGCGCGCAUGCAAGAGUCCAUCGAAUACUGCCUCGCCGACGCCAAGACCAGGGCCGCCCAGCAAGAAGAGAAAACCGAGGCGAGGUGGGUUGUUUUGAUGACGAACAACACCGUCAAACACGACUUGCUCCAGACCAACGCCGCCGCGAAACUCAAAGCUCAAGAUGCCAAGAAGAGGAAUAACGACCUCGCCUUCUUGAUGGGCGGCGCUGACAUGCUCCAGAGCGGCAACGAGAAGCUCAAGGCGUGGUUCUUGGCGGAGCACGGCUUCAUCCUGAACCAGAUACCGGCGACGCCGCCGCCCAGCCCGCCGGCUCAUGACGAUGCCUCCGCGACGCCCAGCCCCAUCGACGAUGCCUCCGCCGUACCCAGCAGCACAGAAGCCGCGCGGACCAGCCCGGAAGCCGCGCCGACUCCUUCCAGCCCGCGUACGCCGCCGCCGACGCCGCCGGAGGUUGAGCUUGACGUUUGAUGUACACCUUCCGCGUCCUUCCUUUUCUGUACGCCGAACUACUGCGUGUCCUUUUAUUUGAUUGCCGAACUGUGGCACCGAAUCGCGAACUAUUGCGAUGAUCGCCGAUUUGUUGUUUCUUUGAGCGGGAAUGAUGGAGUUCGAAUAUGGGGCGCCUUGGGGGGCGGCACCUGGGGGCGUGGCUGGGGAAAAACGAACCCCAGGGACCGAUCUAGCGUCGGCUCGUCCCCCAGGCCGCUUUUUUUCGGCACCCUGAGGGGCCGAACGGAUGGAGAUGCUCUUAGAGCCCCUUUGUGCGAACCUCUGAACUCCACCUCCGGUCAUGGGCCCUCGCCUCGACACGGUCCUAACUGCCACGCUAUUGCCGGUCGAUAGUUAACGUUGCGUCUGGUGUGUGGUGGCUACGACUCGUUCAGAAUAACUGAUUACUAGAUCAGGAUCGCGCCUGGCGCGAGGGUGCCGAUCAAAGCAUUUUGCCGAAGCACGUAAUACUAUGUCAGUAGGAAACCUGGUAUAGCAUUUGCACUUAUACAGAAUCAAGCUCAGUGCGUACAUACGACCACGGAAGCGCGCCUUGGCGCGUGCUGCCCAUCCAAGCCUCGUGACCCAGUGUGUAUAAAUCUUGUACAUCAAGAGAAAAUUACAAAAUUCGUGUAUAAAUCUUGUACAUUCAAAGAAAAUUACAACACUCUUUUAGGACUAAUCACAAACAGUAGAGAUAUAUGCUAAAAACAUGGUAAGCUGAGGAUACUAAGUCAAUAGGGUAAUUAAUUUUGCAAGCACAUCACAAAAUUUGUUUCAAAAAGCCAGAUUGGCAGUGCCAGAUAAGACAACUGGUUCGCAUCAAGUUCAGUACAAAGCAAAAAGAUUCAGGAACCAUGCAUCAUCUACAACAUAAUAUAACUAAAAUAGAAUUUUUUUUACCUAUAGUCCAUUUCCUUAUUUAUAAGAGAUACACAGAGCAAAUAGUCUCAUAUCUUCAGUUGCGCGACAAAAUAAAAGAAGAUUCAUGUACAUAUCAAAACUAAGAUUCUCCAAAUACCAUCUCUCGGUCAUGAAAUAUAUUCUUCAGUUGCACACCAAUAGUUGCCAUUCCAGGAUAAUUUCAAAUCCAGUCUUCCACAUACCCUUUGUCCAAGACCAAAAGAAGUGCACAAAUGGUGAGCGUUAUAAGGAAUUGUUCUUGGGUCUGUACAAAACAUACUAACCCCAUUAAAAUUACGUGCAUGGAGGCGAGAUGCAAGUACGAUAAUUAACCAACUCAACUGCGUUAAUCCUCAAAUUAAAAUUCCAGGAAGAACUUGAUCUUUAAAUCUACUUCAUCAAUGCCACAUCUUCUACAUGGUUUCUCAUCUACUGGUUGUGAGUAGAAAAUAGAGCAUUAAACCUAGACCCAUCCUCUGAUUAUGUACGUGUCACACCAGAUUACUACACUUGGAACCUUUAUAUAUAUAUGGGGAUAGAAUGGAGAGGGUAGGGAGGGAGCAGAGAUGGAGGUACCUAGAGGCAUUCCAGGAAAUAUUUUCCAUGAUAUAGAUCACGAACACCAUCCUUUCAUGCGACCACAACAAGAUGAUCUGAAAUAAGGUGGUAAGCGGAUUAAGCAACAAUCUUAUUUUGGAUAAUAGCUUAUUUACCAGUUAUCACACGCAGUUGAGGCACUCCCAUGGAGCUAUCAAGUUCUUAUGAGGAAACCUUUUAUAAACUCCAAUGUAUUGAAGGGUUAUUAACUAAAAGCACACACAAAAUAUAAAUUUUAUGAUUCCUGGAUAUAACUCGCAUCUUCUGGAUCAAAAACCAUUAACAAACAUUUUGGAUCAAUUUGUGUAUAGUGUAACCACAUGAAAUCUCAAUAACUGUGAAAAUUGCGGAGUAGCGCAUGUUUCAGAAAAAUGAUAAGAGGUUCCCUAAUCCCUACCACAACGUGAUGAAGCUUUGAAACUACAUAUACCAAGAUUUUCACUGGACCAUUCAAGACUUGGACAAAAGAUACAAAAGUUGCAUCUAACUCCUCCUUCUAGGGAUUCCAUAAUAAUAACAAAAUACUUCAAAAUAUAAUAAUCCAAAAAUCAUAUAUAAGAACAAUGCAAAUCAAUCUUGCAGUACCUCCUAAAACAUUUUACAGAAAAUCCAACCAAACAUUCUCACGCUGUUAGAAACUACUUUAUUACAAGCAUACCCAAGGAACAAUAUAAUGACCCAGACAUAAUCUAUCUAAGACACUCCUAGACGGGCUUUAGAACCCAGACACCGAAUUGACCAGCUGUGAAUACAAUAAUUGUAAUUGAACACUUGUAUUUAUACCGGCGACAUCAACCUGCCCGCCUGCAUGUACCAGAGGCCAGGCAGGCUGAGCAAGCGCACCUGCAAGCACCAUAACCGACUGCGCAACACCUUUAUACGCUAACAUGCUAUCGUAAUUGUAAUCUGCAACAACAAACCCAUAUAUCCCUUGUAAAAAUGGGUUUGACACCGCACCACGUCAUCCCUAGUAAGAACAUCAAUCUCCACCCCUCCAAGCAGACAACCAUCGGAUGCCACCUCUCGAACAUAAGAAUGAAACGGCAAUCGACAAUAGCUCGCAACAGCCUCAAGCAGAGGCACACAGAAAGAACUGACAAUAAACAUGCCUGUAAUAAUUAAUUAUUAAGGAGCAACCGAAAAAAUACCAACGCAGACCAUACAAAGGGAAGAACACAGAAGCCUAUGAAAUAAAUAGUAAUAAACACAACUAAAUAGCAAGCAAUAGGAAACAUUGCAAGGCACGACUUACCCUAUGAACCAAGCAGCAGCUCCACCAGUAAGUAGUUUCCAACAACAAAGUGGAACCCAAGAACUCAGUUGUAACUGAAACAAGCUGCCAAACAGAAAGUAAGGACCAUGAAAGAAAGCAAGGCAAAUUAAUAAACAGAGAACCAUAUGUAGAAGCAAUGAAGUCUGUAAUUUUUUUUUGACUAUGUACUGCAAGGCAACAGCCUCACAUUUCUUUAUUAAAAUUUAACAAGAGGUUUACAUAAUUACAGUGAACCAAAAAAAAACA
Molecule: long non-coding RNA, 5310 nt
Filed under: Triticum aestivum (bread wheat)
Lineage: Eukaryota; Viridiplantae; Streptophyta; Magnoliopsida; Poales; Poaceae
Description: long non-coding RNA (TAES_LNC006620)
Source: RNAcentral